UGCCCACCUCCCACCUCGUCCGCGUGGACGCCGUGGGCGGGUAGGCCACCGUCCCCAACUGUCCCGUCCCUGAAACCCAGCGCCCCAGGCUCCGCGCAGGACAAGCGCGGUACUACAGAAACCAACGCAAGCGCCUUCUCCCUCCGCCUCUCCUAAGCCGCCCGCCUUCCCCAGGAGCAGCCGGAACGGCAUCCGCUCGCCCCGGCCGGGGUCGAAUCGUCGAGCCGUGAUCCCCUUCCACUCAACGCGAUUCGGUAUCGCUGCGGCGGUGUCGAACGUCGAGCUCGCUCGCCACCGGCGGUUGAGGCGGGGGGACGCACCGCUCAAAGCUUACUUGGUUGCGAAACUUGGCAGUAUAGUUUCCUAGACGCGUUGCAUGGCGUAUCGUCGUUGGAAUGGACGCUGGGUGGUGAGGCCGUCAGCAGGUACAGAGACCUGGGCCAAUCUGCUAGGUGUCGUGCUAUUUGAGCACGCAUAGUUAGAACAUCGAAGUGAACUAUGCUGUGUGUGUGGCUUCUCGAUGCUUUGGUUCGUUGGAUCAGAUUGGCUCUUGGUAUGAUACUAUGAUUGCCGUGAGUUCAGUACUUAUUCUAAAGAUUCUGUGAGCAAUGUUACUGUUUGUCAUUCUUGAUGUAUUGUGUUUACCUA
Setaria italica (foxtail millet) is the source of this 648-nucleotide long non-coding RNA. RefSeq lists it as uncharacterized. Lineage: Eukaryota; Viridiplantae; Streptophyta; Magnoliopsida; Poales; Poaceae. The transcript is spliced from 2 exons. The record is from RefSeq and is a predicted model, not a curated record.